GUUGAUCCUGGCUCAGAUUGAACGCUGGCGGAAUGCUUUACACAUGCAAGUCGAACGGCAGCACGGGGCAACCUGGUGGCGAGUGGCGAACGGGUGAGUAAUACAUCGGAACGUGCCCAAUCGUGGGGGAUAACGUAGCGAAAGUUACGCUAAUACCGCAUACGAUCUACGGAUGAAAGCGGGGGAUCGCAAGACCUCGCGCGAAUGGAGCGGCCGAUGUCAGAUUAGGUAGUUGGUGGGGUAAAGGCUCACCAAGCCGACGAUCUGUAGCUGGUCUGAGAGGACGACCAGCCACACUGGGACUGAGACACGGCCCAGACUCCUACGGGAGGCAGCAGUGGGGAAUUUUGGACAAUGGGCGCAAGCCUGAUCCAGCCAUUCCGCGUGCAGGAUGAAGGCCUCGG
This 404-nucleotide ribosomal RNA is filed under the name uncultured bacterium. RNAcentral's name for it is "bacterial SSU rRNA". It matches the Rfam family "Bacterial small subunit ribosomal RNA", at positions 11 to 420 of the family's 1533-position model. The record is from RNAcentral.